GUUGAAGGUGUGUGAAACAAAAAAGAUGGUACCUGGUCUUUGAAUUGGUUGACCCCACAAUUCUUGAUGACUUGGAACUCUUUGUAAAUGGAUUAGAUUACCAAGUAGUUCCAAAGUAUUUACUUCAGAUUAUUAAUGGAAUUAGAUUUCAUCAGUCGCAUCAUACACAGAGGUGUAAAGCCAGAGACUUUUAGUCUCCCAGUCUGGUGUGAAUUUAUGUGACCAGGUUUUCAUGGACAUUGGCAGCUCCUCAGGGUUUAUGCUGAUUAUGUAGCAGCCAAGCAAUACAGAGCUCCAGAACUAUUGGAGAUGUCAGGUGGAUUUGCUGAGAGAUUCUCCCAGGAACUACAGUUAAAGAUGCAGAAAGAUGCCAGGAAUAUUUGUUUACCUAAAAAAAAAAAAGUUCCAAAACAGAAAAGGAAAAAGAGCUGGAUGUCAUGGCACACACCUGUAACCUAGCACUCAGGAAGUUGAGGUGGGUGAAUUGCUGCGAGUUCAAGUCCAGCCUGAACUACAGAACAAGACCCCAUCUCAAGAAAAGAAAAAGAUAAAUCCUUAGGUGAAGAAAGAAAAACACUUGUGGUACAGGAUACCAAUGCUAAUACCAAAAUAAAGGAUUCUAAAGUAUUUAAAGAGUCAAAAAUUGAUGGAGAAGUUGAAAAGGCCAUAGAGCUUCGAAGGCCAGCUGUCUUUGCAACAGUGAGACAAGCCACAAGCAGUGCCUUCCACCAGCCUCAGAGAUGGCAGCAGGGUCACAGGUGACAUGAGAAGCCCCACUCACGCACAAUCUCACAGCGGCUCCCCAGUGUAACCCUGGAAUGAGGGCUGUCCCAGGAGUUGAGCGUUACAGAGUGGAUAACAAAACCAAGAAUUAUAUUCCACUUGUUAAGCCAAAUGUUCUCCACCAGGAAUUAGUAUAUUAAUGUGACCACAUCCAUCUCCAGCAAAAAGAACCUCCUUCAGGUAAAUAAAAGAAUGGACUACUCCAAGACAAACGUCUGUUUGCCUGAACUAAGCUGUAAUCAACUCCCUGAACCGAGAGCCUUGAAAAGCGUAACUCAAAAUCCCAGACUAAGAAAGGAGAACAGAACUCUGAGAAUCUUGCGCACCUUCCCCAGCUGCUACUGACCUGCAUGCCCCAGUGUGGCAUCACAUCAGAUGCUCACUUUGGAUGGAACAGGCCCUAGAGGGACCAUCGUCAUUCUGAAUAGGGUGCUGCACUUGACAUCCUUUGCAGCAAGAGGGCUGAGAGCCUAGGAGGAGAGAUUUGUAGUUGCAAAGGUUUCCUUCUGAUUGCCUGCUUUUUCUAAGAAAGGCUUUGCAGAAGAAGGAAAGACAAAGACUGCAGUUGUUUCAAGGGAAGAUGAAGCAAGUGCCCCUCCCCUGAUUACUCUGUCACCUUGCCAGAUGUUGAUGCCAAGAUACAGCGAAUGAAAGAAUGGUAAUAUGGAUCUUGUUACCUGAGUGUAUUUGCUGACAGUAGACUGUAUGUUUAAAGUUAGCCAAGAUUAAAAGUGAGAAAAAGGAG
This 1528-nucleotide long non-coding RNA is filed under the name Heterocephalus glaber (naked mole-rat). Its description in RNAcentral is "lncRNA (ENSHGLG00000050971.1)". Lineage: Eukaryota; Metazoa; Chordata; Mammalia; Rodentia; Bathyergidae. The record is from RNAcentral.